AGAGAAAAAAAAACAAGUGAACUGCAGAAGAUGGUGCUAGAAAGGGAGAGUAAAAACAAAAUAAUUACUUGUAUAAAAAUUCAUGCAUUUCUCACCUUCUGGCACCAUCUUCUGCACUGCUUGCUUCUUUUUUUUUUUU
Pelobates cultripes (western spadefoot toad) is the source of this 139-nucleotide non-coding RNA. The record is from the annotation of a GenBank genome assembly. Lineage: Eukaryota; Metazoa; Chordata; Amphibia; Anura; Pelobatidae.